UACGAAGGGGCUAGCGUUGUUCGGAAUUACUGGGCGUAAAGCGCACGUAGGCGGAUUGUUAAGUGAGGGGUGAAAUCCCAGGGCUCAACCCUGGAACUGCCUCUCAUACUGGCAAUCUCGAGUUCGAGAGAGGUGAGUGGAAUUCCGAGUGUAGAGGUGAAAUUCGUAGAUAUUCGGAGGAACACCAGUGGCGAAGGCGGCUCACUGGCUCGAUACUGACGCUGAGACGCG
RNAcentral lists this ribosomal RNA (231 nucleotides) under uncultured bacterium. Its description in RNAcentral is "partial 16S ribosomal RNA". It matches the Rfam family "Bacterial small subunit ribosomal RNA", at positions 524 to 755 of the family's 1533-position model. The record is from RNAcentral.